This 23-nucleotide microRNA is filed under the name Glycine max (soybean). Its description in RNAcentral is "gma-miR5032". Lineage: Eukaryota; Viridiplantae; Streptophyta; Magnoliopsida; Fabales; Fabaceae. The record is from miRBase by way of RNAcentral.
AGAGCCACUUUUGGGUUCCCUAU